CGGUGGAUUGUGAGAGCAACAACAUGCGUACAGUAAUAACAUUACUGUAGAGGAGCCCAACCCGGACUACACCUAGGCUGCCAAAAGCGGUUGGGUUUUGUUUGAAGCGGAGAGUGUCGACACAUUAAUACGACGUGCUCCGUAUGCAAGCGAGUCACAGCACAUCUCUUCUGUUGCACGUCUACGUCUUCCAGCAGCCCAUCAUUUAGACCUUCCUCCGUCCGGAAUCGAGUCCGCUGAUCCGCGGCCGAUCUCAUUUAAGAGAGUGUAUUCGAGGCUUCCAAUUGUUGAAUUGAUGGAGGCUGGCGCUGCGUUCUUCCAUCGGUUCUUCUUUCUUUGUAGUUCACGAUAGAUCAAUUCUUCGUGAGAUUCGUGUGAGCGCAUAUACAUACAGGAGAAAAACAAUUCAUUGUUAGAUUAUUAAUUGAUGAUUGCAAGAAGACAAGAUCAAUCAAUCAAUCUCCCUGAUUAGUUUCUUUCCUUUUUGUACGAGGAACAUCUCGUCUUCGCCGUGAAUCGCGUGGUGGCCGAAACUCUAGUAGCCAACUUCUCCAGACUUCUCCGGUCAUCGUCUGCGGCAAUUGCAGAUCGCCGGAGUGGCCUCCUCUGGCCAUAGAGAGGCCUUGCCGUUUGCCGCCGCUGUCGUCGGCAGUCAUGUGGCGGAUUGAAGCGCCGGAGGGCGCCGCUUCGACGCGCCUACAGAGGAGGGCGUCGUCAACCAUGGGGUGCCUCAGCCGCCUGCAUCGCGCGCUGGUGCUGCGCCGCUGGAGCGCUGUCGAGGCCGAGGGUCCUUGUGUCCUUGGGGCCGGAGGGAGUCGCCGCCACAGCCGUGUAUCAGGCCGAUGGUCAGGGACGGUGGUGCCGUCGAGUUCUUGGCCUAAUUGCUCUCUGGAAGAGGCGUGUGUGAUAACGUGUAAAGAUGAAAAGAGAGAGAGAGGAGCGAAUGAUGGGAAUAAACAGUAUCUCUUUAUUUUU
Long non-coding RNA from Triticum dicoccoides, 975 nucleotides. RefSeq lists it as uncharacterized. Lineage: Eukaryota; Viridiplantae; Streptophyta; Magnoliopsida; Poales; Poaceae. The transcript is spliced from 2 exons. The record is from RefSeq and is a predicted model, not a curated record.